This 501-nucleotide ribosomal RNA is filed under the name Acrobeloides sp. Sourhope farm. RNAcentral describes it as "SSU rRNA". It matches the Rfam family "Eukaryotic small subunit ribosomal RNA", at positions 48 to 547 of the family's 1831-position model. The record is from RNAcentral. Lineage: Eukaryota; Metazoa; Nematoda; Chromadorea; Rhabditida; Cephalobidae.
GCCAUGCAUGUCUAAGUAUAAACGAUUUAAUCGUGAAACCGCGAAUGGCUCAUUAUAACAGCUAUAAUUUACUUGAUCUUGACACAAUCCUACUUGGAUAACUGUGGUAAUUCUAGAGCUAAUACAUGCAUUAAAGCUCUGACCUCACGGGAAGAGUGCAUUUAUUAGAACAAAACCAAGCGGCUUCGGCUGUUUCUGGUUGACUCAUAGUAACUGAGCUGAUCGCAUGGUCUUGCACCGGCGACGUGUCUUUCAAGUAUCUGCCGUAUCAACUUUCGAUGGUAGUGUAUCUGACUACCAUGGUGAUCACGCGUAACGGAGAAUAAGGGUUCGGCUCCGGAGAGUUCGCCUGAGAAAUCGCGAACACAUCUAAGGAAGGCAGCAGGCGCGAAAAUUACCCACUCUCAGCACGAGGAGGUAGUGACGAAAAAUAACGAGACCGUUCUCUUAUGAGGCCGGUCAUCGGAAUGGGUACAAUUUAAACCCUUUAACGAGUAUCUA